RNAcentral lists this ribosomal RNA (253 nucleotides) under uncultured bacterium. RNAcentral describes it as "partial 16S ribosomal RNA". It matches the Rfam family "Bacterial small subunit ribosomal RNA", at positions 524 to 776 of the family's 1533-position model. The record is from RNAcentral.
UACAGAGGUCUCAAGCGUUGUUCGGAUUCAUUGGGCGUAAAGGGUGCGUAGGCGGCGCGGUAAGUCGGGUGUGAAAUCUCGGAGCUUAGCUCCGAAACUGCAUUCGAUACUGCCGUGCUUGAGGACUGGAGAGGAGACUGGAAUUUACGGUGUAGCGGUGAAAUGCGCAGAUAUCAGGAAGAACACCCGUGGCGAAGGCGGUUCUCUGGGACGGUACUGACGCUGAGACGCGAAAGCGUGGGGAGCGAACAGG